GUGCCAGCCGCCGCGGUAAUACGAAGGGUGCAAACGUUGCUCGGAAUCAUUGGGCGUAAAGCGCACGUAGGCGGCCCAGCAAGUUGGAUGUGAAAUCCCUCGGCUCAACCGAGGACGUGCAUCCAAAACUGCUGGGCUUGAGUACUGAAGAGGAUCGCGGAAUUCCCGGUGUAGAGGUGAAAUUCGUAGAUAUCGGGAGGAACACCAGUGGCGAAGGCGGCGAUCUGGGCAGAUACUGACGCUGAGGUGCGAAAGCGUGGGGAGCAAACAGGAUUAGAUACCCCAGUAGUCC
This 292-nucleotide ribosomal RNA is filed under the name uncultured bacterium. RNAcentral's name for it is "partial 16S ribosomal RNA". It matches the Rfam family "Bacterial small subunit ribosomal RNA", at positions 505 to 796 of the family's 1533-position model. The record is from RNAcentral.